This is a long non-coding RNA of Mytilus californianus (California mussel), 1020 nucleotides long. RefSeq lists it as uncharacterized. The record is from RefSeq and is a predicted model, not a curated record. The transcript has 2 exons. NCBI's taxonomy places the organism in Eukaryota, Metazoa, Mollusca, Bivalvia, Mytilida, Mytilidae.
AAUAUGAAAAAAAAAUUCUUUCUUUUUGCCUCCAUAGUACUCCAAAGAUAUGAAACCAUGAUGAUUAUUAUCCCUUAUUAUUUUGGCUACUCUGUAUAGGUUUUUAAGUCAUAUAGCUCCUAACGUUGUGAAGUGUGUUUACACAUCCCUGACUUUCGGAUGUUUAGGUUUGAGUGUGUUUACACAUCCCUGACUUUCGGAUGUUUAAGUUUGAGUGUGUUUACACAUCCCUGACUUUCAGAUGUUUAGGUUUAAGUGUGUUUACACAUCCCUGACUUUCGGAUGUUUAGGUUUGAGUGUGUUUACACAUCCCUGACUUUCGGAUGUUUAGGUUUGAGUGAGUUUACACAUCCCUAACUUUCGGAUGUUUAGGUUUGAGUGUGUUUACACAUCCCUGACUUUCAGAUGUUUAGGUUUGAGUGUGUUUACACAUCCCUGACUUUCGGAUGUUUAGGUUUGAUUGUGUUUACACAUCCCUGACUUUCGGAUGUUUAGGUUUGAGCGUUUAUAACAAAGGUAAAUCCAGUAAAGCGCUUCAGACGCACACAAUUUAUAACGUGUUUAGUCCAUUUUAUAACAGCCUUUCUCUUUCAAGUAUACAGUAAUGUAACAUGCAAUUGUUUUCAACAAGAAAAACAUUCAUAAAUUGCUAACAAAAACAACACCUAUAUCUCUUGCUUCUUAAUGUUAACAAAAUGAACUAUAACAAAAAUAAGUUUUGUAGAAGAGUAAGAGAUUCUAGUUUAUAUUGAACAAAACGAGUAAAACAUAAUGACUAAAAAUAAUGAUAACGCUCCCUAUUAAAGAUUUAAAUAGUACUUCAUAUAUUGUUAUCAUGUCGAACUUAUCUCCAUAAGAAAAAUCCUUAACUUAUGGAUCUCUUUCUUGUACUGUUUCGUGUCUAUUUAUUAUGAUGUGACUGCACUCUGCAAUUCAAUGUAUACCAUCAAACUUCACACAUGACUAUGUUCCUCCCUUUAACUCAUCGUUUGUUUGAUGUUUCAAUCAUUUGAUUGCAAA